UACGAAGGACCCGAGCGUUAUCCGGAUUUAUUGGGUUUAAAGGGUGCGUAGGCGGUUUAGUAAGUCAGUGGUGAAAGCCCAUCGCUUAACGGUGGAAUUGCCAUUGAUACUGCUAGUCUUGAGUAUGGUUGAGGUGGGCGGAAUGUGUCAUGUAGCGGUGAAAUGCUUAGAUAUGACCCAGAACACCAAUUGCGAAGGCAGCUCGCUAAACCAUAACUGACGCUGAUGCACGAAAGCGUGGGGAGCAAACAGG
RNAcentral lists this ribosomal RNA (253 nucleotides) under uncultured bacterium. RNAcentral describes it as "partial 16S ribosomal RNA". It matches the Rfam family "Bacterial small subunit ribosomal RNA", at positions 524 to 776 of the family's 1533-position model. The record is from RNAcentral.